This 253-nucleotide ribosomal RNA is filed under the name uncultured bacterium. Its description in RNAcentral is "partial 16S ribosomal RNA". It matches the Rfam family "Bacterial small subunit ribosomal RNA", at positions 524 to 776 of the family's 1533-position model. The record is from RNAcentral.
UACAGAGGUGGCAAGCGUUGUUCGGAAUUACUGGGCGUAAAGGGCGCGUAGGCGGCCUUCUAAGUCAGACGUGAAAUCCCCCGGCUUAACCUGGGAACUGCGUCUGAUACUGGGAGGCUUGAGUAUGGGAGAGGGAUGUAGAAUUCCAGGUGUAGCGGUGAAAUGCGUAGAUAUCUGGAGGAACACCGGUGGCGAAGGCGGCGUCCUGGACCAACACUGACACUGAAAAGCGAAAGCCAGGGGAGCAAACGGG